This 155-nucleotide non-coding RNA is filed under the name uncultured Acutalibacter sp. The record is from RNAcentral. Lineage: Bacteria; Bacillati; Bacillota; Clostridia; Eubacteriales; Acutalibacteraceae.
UUGCUGUCCGGUAUAAUAGGGAAACGGGUGAAAUUCCCGUGCGGGACCGCCGCCGUAAUGGCAGAGUUUCGGCUUUUUUGAAGUCACUGUGGACAGCCAUGGGAAGACAAAGCCGAAAUGUGGACGCCUAAGCCGGAAGACCUGCCUUUUGUUCC